GCGGUCUCGGGGCUAAAGAUUAAUCUGGGUAAAAGUGAAAUCAUCCCGGUGGGUGAGGUGGAGGAUAUUGAGGAAUUGGCAGCGGAGAUAGGAUGUAGGGUGGGAUCUUUGUCGUCCCAGUAUUUGGGUCUACCCUUAGGGGCUCCUAACAAGGCCUCCUCGGUGUGGGAUGGAGUAGAAGAAAGAGUGAGGAGAAGACUUGCGCUUUGGAAAAGGCAAUUUAUCUCUAAAGGUGGCAGAAUCACUCUGAUUAAAAGCACCUUGGCCAGCAUACCCAUUUAUCAAAUGUCUCUUUUCCGGAUGCCGAAGAUUGUGGUUAGAAGGCUAGAAAAAUUGCAAAGAGACUUCCUAUGGGGAGGGGGAAGUAUGGAGAGGAAAAUUCACCUAGUGAAUUGGGAGAUAGUGUGUGGAGAAAAAGAGAGGGGUGGGCUUGGUUUGAGGAAGCUUGGCCUAUUGAACAGAGCUUUGCUUGGAAAAUGGAUAUGAAGGUUUGCUUGUGAAAGAGAGAAUCUUUGGAAGCAGGUGAUUGUGGCAAAGUUUGGGCAAGAAGAUGAUGGAUGGAAGCCUAAUGGGGCGUUUGGGGUAGGGGUGUGGAAGGAGAUCAUGAAGGAGACUGAUUGGUGCUGGGAUAAUAUAGAGUUUAUGGUGGGGAAGGGUACUAGAAUCAGAUUUUGGACUGAUGUGUGGUGUGCGGGCUCAGCGCUGUCCCAAACCUUCCCGCACCUUUUUGUCUUGGCUGCUCAUAGGAAUGCUACGGUGGAGGAGAUGUAGGAUCAGAGUUCGGAUCAAGGAGGUUGGAAUCUAAGAUUUUUGAGGAAUUUUAAUGACUGGGAGGUGGGUAUGGUAGGAGAUCUGCUCCUUAAGCUGAGAGGGUUUAGGCCUUCUUUGGAGGAAGAUUCGGUCUCUUGGAAGGGAGGAAAAAGCGGUAAAUUCAAAGUAAAGAAAGCGUACAGCUACUUAGUCAAUCCUAUGGACACCGUUUUCCCGGAAAAAUGCAUUUGGGUGGAUAGAGUACCUACCAAGGUCGCUUUCUUUGCGUGGAAGGCUACAUGGGGGAAGGUGUUAACGCUUGAUAGACUUCAGAGAAGAGGAUGGCAACUCCCUAACUGCUGCUUUUUGUGUGGUUGUGCAGAAGAAUCUGUAAAUCAUGUCCUUAUUCACUGUAUAGUGACUAGAGCCCUUUGGGAGUUAGUCCUUGGGCUUAUAGGUGUUAAGUGGGUCUUUCCAGAAUCUGUAAAGGAGGUCUUGUUUAGCUGGAAAGGUCACUGGGUGGGAAAAAAAAGGAAAAAGAUUUGGAAGGCCAUCCCGUUAUGCAUAUUUUGGACGGUUUAGAAAGAAAGGAAUAGGUUAGCCUUUAAAGGGGGUGUGAUACAUAGACAGAAGCUAAAGAAUUUUUUUGUUUGUAAUUUGUGGGGUUGGGCUAGAUUGGAUAUUGGAGAUAACUCUCUCUCCCUUCUAGGCUUUCUAGAGUGGCUAGCUGCCACUUAGGGGAGGUGAGGUCUUCUUGGUCCCUUUUGUUUUUUGGUUGUGAGGCUUUAGCUGCCUUGUAUAUCUCCUGUAUACUGUGUGGCUAUUGGCCUCUUUUUUAAUAUACAUUGACGUACUUAUCAAAAAAAAAAUAAUAUAGUGAACAUAAACAUUUGACUACAUUUUCACAUUAUAGUUAAAUCUAACAUUGAAUUUCCUAACUCACCUUUGUAUGCCAGGAUAUAUUAGAAACAAUUUUAAAACAUGUCAGAGAUAUUACCUUUGUCAUGGCGCUCAAGCCUGACUUGGAAGACACAUAGGCUACUCCUCCAGGUAACUGUCCCCGAUUAAGAGCAGCAAUGGAAGAAAUAUUGAUGAUUGAUCCUCCAUUCUUGGCAUCCCUCAUGCGCAUACCGACAUAUUUUGACACCAACCAUGAUCCCGUCAAGUUUGUCUUCAGAGUAUUAUUCCAUUCCUCCUCAGAUAUAUCCAGAGGAGAGUUCACAUUGCCUAAGGCACACAGGGCACAGGGCAUGGGUUAAAUACAUCUACCACGCAUUACGUUCACAAAUAUUAGCAGAACACCAGAGAUAAAUUAAAUGAGUAAUAUUGAUAAGAAAAAUAUAUGUGAUUGACUCGGUAUAGAUACCCAGUUGACUCGCUAAUCUUUUUCAUUAAACAAAUAGUUUCAAAUUUCAGUUCGAACUGAAUGAAAUGAAACGUGCGCUAGAAUUGAAAGUAUGAGAAAAACAAGGUUUCCAAAAGCCAGCUGCAAAACGGGAAAUUCAGGAUACAGGAAUAUCAGGAUCGUGCAAAACCCCAUAAAUUCAAAAAUUGAAAACCAUGAAACGAGAAAUCAGGUAAAUUAAUACUAUACCCUACAUAUUCACCCCUUAGAUGAUUGAAAUUUUAAUUUCGUUUCUUCAUUCAGAUUUCGCGUGAACCAAACGGCAGGUAGAAGUGCUCAAAGAAAAAAAAAUCAAAAUUGCCUCAGUCCGUUGCAUUCCUAAAAUAUCAGAACCUCAUCAACCACAAGAUUCCAAAUUCCCUUUCCUUUUUUCCAAACAGAAACUAAACUCUUUUCCAAAGUCAAAUCAAAAUUUACCUCUAAUGCCCGCAUUAUUUAGCAAAGCAUCGAUACGUCCAAAGGCCUCCCAAGCCUUCUGAACGGAGGCGCCGAUUGAGGAGCCAUCGCUGGUGACGUCAAGUUCGACUGCUACGGCUCGGAGAGGCGGAUCAGCGUUUGGAGGAAGGUUCGAGUGGGUGAGGUUGUUGAUCUCGUCGCAGAGAGACUUGAGUCGGUCAACUCGGCGGGCGGCCGCCACGAUCUUGCAGCCGGCUUUGGCGAGGUUGAGGCAGAACUCGCUGCCGAGACCCGAGGAAGCGCCGGUGACCAUGACCACCUUGCCCUCCAGGUCUUGCCAUGGCUCGAGGUGGUUCGCGACUUGGGACGCCAUCAAUGUGGUUGAGAGUCUCUAGAGAAAGUAGGCACCAGCUUUUAGAGGGAAAAAAAGUAAAGCAAAGAAAAUUUGAUAAGAUGAAAAUAAAUAAUAAAUAAUUAAAAGGGGAAAUAAACUCCUCUAUAUAUUCUAUUGCGACAUUGCGUGAUCAAAUUCCAUUUGUUUAUGUAUCGCCUUUGUAGUGAAUCUAGUGAUGAUGCCAUCGGAUUGUUUGCAGUGAAUUGUCGGAAUUGUUUUUAGUCAUUCUAAUAAUUAAAAAUAAAAAUUUUCAAAUAUUAAAAAUUAAAAAAUUUUAAAUAUUAAAAAUGUUAAAAACGCUUCCUAUAAUAAUUGUUAAAUAGACUCUAAGAGUAUAUUUGAAAGUAAUUCUAAAAAAUAUUUUUAGUAUUUUUAUUAAUGUGUUUUUAAGUAUUAAAAAUAUUAAAAAUACUUUCUAAAAUCACUAUCAAACUAAAAGUGCAUUUAAAAGUAAUUUUAAAAAAUAUUUUUAACAUUUCUAAUACUUAAAUAAUAAAAAACUUCAAGUGUUAAAAAAAUUUAAAACAUUCCAUAAAAUCACUACCAAAUAGAGUCUAAGUUUGUGAAGGGAUCAACACUUAAUAAGUCAUAUUUUAUUAUACAUCUUUCUAAAAUUAGUAUUAAGAAACCAAUUUUUCAGUGUCCAAUAAUUUUCCCUAUUGGUAUAAUUUUCUAAUUACGUAAAAUAAAAAUGGUCAUCAAGGGAAAAUAAUUUUUGAGAACAAACUUUUGCUUAUGAUUUUUUUAUUAUUACUCAAAAAGAGCAUAUUUUAUAUAAUAAUUAUCACGAAUUUCAUAUCUUUUGAGUAGUAACUAUACCUAAAACACUCAAUUAACAUGUUUUUACUUUUGCAAGAAUUACUAAAAAGUCUUAUGAAGUUUUGGGGUAAUUUCAAGGUAUGUUUUUUAUAAAUAGGUGACAAAAGAGAUGAAUCAAAUUAAAGAAAACAAAUAAAGUUGAUGAUGAUCCAAAUGCAUAAUGAAAGAGGCAAUCCAAUCAGUUUGGAUUGGGAUUUGGAGGUAGUUGAAGUGGAAUCAAAAUGAAGAAAUGAGAGAAAUUGCAAAAAGAAGUUGAAAAACCAUGUUUUUCAAUUUCACAUAAACACGAGAAAAAUUCGCACAGUCAUGCAAAUUGAAAUAGAAUGGACUUUGGCUGCAGCACACAAGGGGAAAAGUGAAAAUUGAUUUCGCAUGACCAUACGAAACGCUCCAAGAAGACGAAAAUGGUGCUGAUGGAUUUUCCACUUCGCACAAUCGUGCGAAAUUGUUGGAGCUCAUGCGAAAUUGUUGGAGCUCGUGCGAAAUUGCAUCUUUUCCAAAUUUCUUGAUGAAAAAGUCUCCGGAAGACCUUUUAGAUGAUGCCAAGUGUCCACUUGACCUUGGCCUAUAAAUAGAAACUUGAUUUACUCAUUUAGGGAUUUUUGAUACAUUUCCUAAUUGUAGAAUUUUCCAAAUUUCUUCUCUCUAUAUAAUUCUCUACUUUCCUUCAUUUUCUCUCAUUUUCUCGGUAGCCAAACAUGUCUUGUGAGAUCAAAUCUCAAAGUAUGAGUGGCUAAAUCUUGUUUUUCUUGGAAGAGAAAGGAUAUAGAGAUAAGAUCUAUGGUGAAUUAGAGAAAUGAGAUUAAAUUGCAAAGGUAAUUUGAUCCAAUUGAUUGAUUAAUUGAAAUUUUGAGAUUUUUCUCUUCAAAUUGUCUUGGAUGAUUACGACAAUGUAAGUUAGGUACAUUCAUCAAAUUCUUAAAGUUAGAUUUGAUGAGAUUGAAUAGUUACAUUGUGUGAAUCAUUGGCAGAUAAUUUAAGAUGAAUUGAAUAUAUGAUUUGAAUUGAUCUCUUAGAUUAAACGACCUAAUUUGAAGAGAAAUUAGAUCUAAACCUAAAGUCAAAUCAAAAAUCGGUUUAGAUGAAAAUUUAGGUUUUCAAUCUAACUUGAUGAAAAUUAGAUCUCAACAUCUAUUCACCAUGGAAAUUGUUUUCUAGAAAAUCCUAACUCCGAGAAUUUUAUCUCCUAUUAAUUUUCUUUUAUUUUACAUUUUAUUUUUCUUCUCAAUUUUAGACCAUUGUCAAAUUAAUUUUUCAUCAUGAAUUUUCAAAUCAAUUUCACUUGAUCACAAUCAUUUCUUAUCCUUUCAUUCAAGCCUUAAUUACCGAGAAUAAUCCAUCCUAGUGGACGACACCUAAAAACCACUAUAUUACAGUAGUUUGUACUAAAAUUGUUUUUAAUCGGGUACAAUCUACUUUAGAAUAGUGAAUUAGGUUAUAAAUUUUGUUUUGAUCAAAUAAAUGACAAAAAUCUAAGCGAUCAAUUUUGUAUAUAAAAAAUAAUUUUUUUCACUUAUUCUCGAUAAAACUUAUAAUGUAAAAGUUUUCAAAAUAUUUUUUUAAUAUUUUUUCUUUAUUUUUUGAAAAAUUUUGAUAAAUAAAAUAUGAAAAUACUUUUAAAUUAUUUUUAAAAUAACCUAUUUUCACAACAACAUUUUGAAAAAAACUUUUUUUAUUUUCUCAAAAUUUGGUCAAAUAUAUUCUCUAAGUUGGAGAGUGUCUAAUAUCCUUGUAAAUGUAUUUGGACAAAGUUUUGGAUUUUUAUUAUUUACUUUUGCUUUUAACAGCAAAACUCACUUUAAAAAUCCAAAAAAUAAAAUGAGUUUGGAAAACAAAAUCCAAACUUUAAUCAAAUUUAAAUCCUUUAAUUUUCUCAUUUGUUAAAAGAAUCUCAUAUUUUAUGCCAUUGAUGAAUAAGAAAAAACUUCUUACAUCUCUUAUAAGAAUCAUCUAUCAAUAUUUGAGUAUAUUUUUUUUUAGUGAUGCAUGGUGUUAAUUGAUUGAACUAAAAUUGUAUAAUAAAACCUGUCAAUAGGGAUGACAAUUUAGACACGACACGAUAAUGCAAUUUGAAAAUGAUUGGAUUGUUAAUGUGUUUGGGUUUGCAUGUGAUUGUGUUGUGUCUUAAUAAACAUGUCUUAUUUGGGUUUUCAUUAUUCACCUUGUUUAUGAUUUAUUUGCUUAAUUGUAUCAAAAUAAUUUAUUUAAUCCAUAUAAAUUUAAUAAUUUUAUACAUUCCAAUUAUAAAAAUAAUAAAUACUUUGUUAAUUAUAAAUAUCAUAUAGUAAAAACAUUAAAUAACUAAAUAAAAUUACAUUUGAUUAGUAAGAUUAAAAAUAGUUUAUAGUUAAAAUUUUAAAUAAAAUAAUAAGUAAAUGUAAAAAUUAAAAUAUUAUCCUACUUUUUAUAUUAUGAUCAAAAUUAAAUAAUUACAUUAAUUAAGAUUAAAAAUUAAAGCAAAUGAAAAGUAUUUUAGAAUAAUAUAUUUAUAAAGUUAAAUUCCAAAAUAGGUUAAACGGGUUAUAAUCAUGUUAACUAGUUAAAAUCAUACUAAUGGAUUAUUAUGUCCGAUUUAACCCAUUUAUUAAAUGAGUUAAAUGGGUUGUAUUGAGUUACCUAUAUAAUAAAUGAGUUGUGUUUAUGUUGAAUGUUUCCGACAUGAUUAUUAAAUAAGUCAUAUUUAAAUUAAAUAAAUUUUUACUAUUUUUUUUUUACUUUGAAGACAUUGCCAUCCCUACUUGCUCACAUGCAUUUAAACAAAAAAAUCUUGUAAUUUUCUCUCCAAUCCUUAUCAUUUUUCCCAUCGGCAAGUUCCCUAUUAGGAAAAGAAAUUCCUUGUAUACAUCUCUCAUCCCCAUUCAUGGUCUUUGAAUUCAUAUUUAAAAUUUUCAAAUAUAUAUAUAUAUAUAUAUAUAUAUAUAUAUAUAUAUAUAUAUAUAUAUAUAUAUAAACUAAUAUAUUUUAUAGUGAAUAUGAUAAUUUUUAAAAAAAUAAAUAAAUAUAAAAUUAUAUAUAAAGAAAUAUAUUUAAUAUUAUAUGUAUAUGGUUUGGGUGGGUUUUGGAUAGGGAAUAGUUUCAUUUCCCUGGUCGAGGUUCCCCAUCCCUAAUCCGACUCCAUUAGGGAUGGAUUCCCCAGGGGCACAACUUGGCUGGUUUUUUAUGCCAUCCUUGCUGGAGGGUGGGUUGGGAACUGUUGCCCAAAGCAUGGCCCAUGGGCCCCAACAUUGGCAAAAUCUUGAAACCCUUUAAGAUUAAGCUUGUUAUCUGUUUAUGUAUAUGUGCCGCCAUUUAGAUUGCAGGCCUAAAAAACUUAUAUAGUUUAUGAAGACAUGACCCAACAGGCCCAUCGGGCCACUUGUAUUCCUCUUUAACUUGACACCAAAAGCGCAUUUGGUCGGGUUGAGCUUCAUAUUGUAUGCUUUCAUUAGGCAAAAUGUUUCCUCUAAGUGUAGGACGCGUUUGCUCUGGGUUUUGUUUUUUACCACAAUAUCAUCAAUAUAGACUUCUACGGUUCGGCUGAUCAAGGGUUUGAAGAUUUUUGUCAUCAACCUUUAAUAAGUGGUUCCAACAUUCUUAAGCCCAAAUGGCAUAACCCUAUAGCAGUAUAAUCUGUGCAGCAUCACGAAGGCGGUUUUCUUUUCAUCCGGUUGGAACAUCGGGAUCUGGUGGUACCCGGAGAAUGUGUCUAUGAAAGAGAGCAUCUCAUACAUGGUAGUGGACUCAACUAUCUGAUCUAUUCGAGGUAGAGGGAAGCUAUCUUUCAGGCAAGCAUCAUUCAGGUUGGUGUAAUCAACACAGACUCGCCACUUUCCUCCUUUCUUUGGAACAACCACUACAUUCGCCAACCAAUCCAGAUAUUAUACUUCCUUGAUAAACCCGAUUGUCAGCAACUUGUCCACAUUGAAUUGGAUGAUCUUUUGCUUGUCUGGAUGGAAGCGUCUGACUUUCUGGCAAACGGGUCACGAGGAAGGUAUGAUAUUGAGUCGAUGUAAGGCUACCGAUGGAUGGAUUCUGGGCAUAUCAAAGUGAGUCCAUGCGAAAACAUCCUUGUUCUACUAAAGCACUCCUUCGAGUAAUUUUAAUUCUUUUAGUGCUAGGAGAGAGCUAGCAUAGGUAACACGAUCACUGCUACCUGAGAGAUGCAAGGGUUGGAGCGAGUCUGCUGCUGACAGAUCUUUUUUCGUCAGGCUCUGUAAUUGCUAUUGCUCCUUCGUAUUUGUCAGUCUCGUGUGUGGCUCACUGUUGCUUGGGAGUCCGAAAUUGAGUACCGCUUGAUAGCACUAGCACGUAGCCAACUUACUACCAUAAAGGUCGAUUUGUCCGUCCUCGGUGAGGUAGCUUACCAUCUGAUGAUACGUAGAGGGAAUGACUUUCAUGUUGUGAAGCCACGUGCGCUCCAUGAUGGUGUUAAAAUGGGAUAAGUCCUCUACUAUCGAGAACUGCACAUUCUGGGUGAUCAUACCAACUUGGACGGGUAAUACGAUGUCACCUAAAGACGUUGUCGUUGUCCCAUUGAACCAAAUAAUAUCUGUUUUGGGUUUUCUAGGGCAAUCGGCAGGAGUCUCAUUUGUUUGUAUGACGACAUUUGCAAGAGGUCAACUGAGCUGCCCAGAUCAACCAAAAUCCUUCUUACAUCAAACCCAUUUAUCCCUAAUGUUAGAACUAGGGCGUCUUCAUGUGGUUGUAGUACUCGGUUGGGGUUUACUGGAGGGAAGGUUAUUAUCCCGUCCAUUAGGCAUGCACCUUGAUUACUACUCAAAAAGUGUUAUUUCAUAGCUUGUAAUUAACUCUUUUAAACACUUUUGAGUAGUAGUUAUUGCCUUUUAACCCAAUUAACAUGUUAAGGACCCUUGCAAUCACUUCUAAUCAAUUUGUGUUAAGUUUUGGUGUUUUGAUAGCUUUUUUAUCACCAAAGCAAUCCGAGAUUGAGGAGAGUUAUUUGGAAUCUAUGGCAAAGCAAUGGAAAGCUCAGAAACAUGAAGAACCAAAGCUUUGAAGUCCUUUGUCAUAAGCAAAUCCGGAAUGCAAGGAGGAGAAGCAAAGAGAAAUCUGCCAUGAAGCAUUCUUGAUGAUAGCCAUGUCAGCCACUUUUAGAGCACUUCCUGAAGUCUAAUUUAUGCAUGCUAUAUGUCGUUUCGAAGCUCAGGAAGUCAACAAUCCAAUGCUUCAAAUGGUGUUCAAUUUGGAGUUGAAAUGAAGGAAUUACAGCCAUUACAAGUUGAUCACUCUAAGUUGAAGGAAGAAUUUUGCACAGCGCUGCGAAAUCACCCUUUUGUUGCGAGAUGAUUUCGCAGCCUUUUUGUACAGUGCUGUGGAUUCUCCCCUGAAGUUUCCCGUCACAAUGGAAGCCGAAUACCGCAAGCUGAAAGCCAACUUCGCAGCGCUGCGAAAUCAGCCUUUUGCUGCGAAGUGAUUUCGCAGCCCUUUUUGUGCUUCUACGAAAUCUCGUAGACCUCGUUUUCACCUGCGAAAUGGUCCUUAGUGCUUCCCGAUAUUUGUGACCGACACUUUUGGAUAUUUUGCUUCAGAUUUUUGAUAACUAAAUCCUCAUUUUCUCCUUGUAACCCACCAAUUAUAGGAUUUCUUAGUUAUUAAGUUUGGCAAAGGGGUGAAUAACCUUAGAUAUUUUGUUUUGUAAUUUUCUUUAUAUAUAGCUCUCGGGAGCUUGUUCUUAUAUAGAAUUAUGUAAUCCGACGGGAUAUAGAUUUAUAAAUAUAUAGAAUAUACAGAGCCUUGCUCUGUUUUUUCUUUCUCUUUCAUUUUCAUUUUCUUGCUAAUCAAACUCUGAAGAUUUUUCCUCAGAUGAUGAGAGGCUAGGCUCUUCGUCUCUUGGAGCUAAGGUAACCGGGUAAGUUUUCCACAUGCAUAAAUUGGAAGUUUUGUUGUUUUAGUUUUUAAUGAAGAGAAAGUGUGACCCGUUAAUGGUUUUUAUCUUUUUAGUUAACUUAAAACGCCUUUAAUUCACCUGAGCCAACACUUGGUAAGGCAAGUGAUCUCCGUCCAUGGAGAUGCACUAGUUUAUCUCUUGCGAGCUUUUGGUAGGUGGUUUGAAGGUAGGAUUUUCUAGAAUAGCCAACACUUGUUAAGAUUUUGGACUCCAAUGAGACAUCCAUUAGUUAUCUCUUGCGAGCUUUUGAUGGGUAAUCCAAGGUUAAAGAUCACCUUGAAUGACAAAUGCUAGGUGAGAGGCACGAGUCAUUGCAAGGUGCAUCAAUGAGAGGGAUUUAGUGUUUGAACCCAUUAAUGGGAAGUAUCUGUACAACACUGGUUAGAGAAUUAACUACAUGUUAAUUCUCUAAUGCGAGGAAAAGAAACAAGUGACCAGAACUCUCCUUUUUGUAUGAGGAAUCUGAGCCUAGUGAUCUGAAACUCCAAGAAACACUUUUCUUUGUAAGUAAAAUCAGUUGCUAUUUUUGGUUAGUUUAAAACCAAACUUUUUUCAUUCAAACAUCUUUAUGUUUUCUUUUAAAGCUAACCUUGAAAUGAAAAGGCACCAAUUCAGCUUUGAAUUAAUAUCAUUUGCAAAGUGAAAACCCAUCCCAGUGAACGAUCCUAGAGCCACUAUGCUAUAAUAGCUUUGUCUUUGCUAUCCUAGUAAAUGGUGUAAUAGGUUAUAAAUUUUGUUGAUUACUCCCUCAAUCAAGGAGCACCAGCUGGACACGAAUCAACUGAGACACCAAUUGGGCAUGAAUCACACCUUCACUCGGCAAACUAUGUUGGAUAGAGCUAACCUACUCCCUCACGAAAGCCACUCGUAGCAAUCUUUGUCUCUUUUGUUUGGAAUUGUAUUUUUCGUCAACGAGACCCCCAUGAAUGUAGUUGAUGAUAGCUCUAAGAGCUUCCGAAGUUGUGGACACUUGGAUAGCCAAAUCCCGGGUGGUUUCCCUUUGUCCUUCGAUUGAGCGGAUGUAUCAUUUUAAGUGCUUGGCCUUAAUUAGUCUUUCCACUAAGUAGUGGAAACUUCUGCAUUGUUUCGUGGUGUGGCCAUGAUCUUUGUGAUAGGCACACUUCCUGUUCUAAUCCCGUUUCGUCGAAUCUGUCUUAAUUGACUCUGGCCAUCUAAAAUCAGACAGAUCACAAAUCAUGGGAAGGAGUUUGUCGUAUGAAAUGCUAAGGGGGGUCAGACUAGCUUGGCUUGGCUGCUGCUGGUCGUCUCGCUUCUUGCUGACUUGCCUUAGUUGGUUUGAGAGCUUAGAAUUUUCGGCAUGAUCGUUCCUGGCGGAUCGACGAGUGACCAGGACCUGCUGUGUAGUCUUACAAACAUCGUCUUCAAGAUGGAGUACUUGUUUACUCGUUUGAAUAGGUCAUCCAUUGUCGCUGAUAGUUUCUUAACGAGAGAUUCGAAGAAAUGCGUACUCGGACAAAUGCUUCUUUUGAAGAUUUGUAGGAUGACGUCCAUGCUACAAGACUCUACUUGGAGCACGACCUGUCCGAACAGUUUCACAAACUCCCUCAAUGAUUCAUUUUCCUACAUUUUUAUGUUUUGCGGGGUACUUAUGUUCUAUUUGUCAUGCCGAGCAUAGGUAGUGUCCCACAAAGGCUUCUGAUAGAUCCUAGAAAUUACUCACAAAAUUCUUUAGGAGAUGGUGGAACUACGAAAGGGCCUAGCCAUGUAAGCUAGUUGGAAAGACUUUGCAUAAUAGCACAUCGUUCCCUAUGUUGAGGGUCAUGAGCUGCCUAUAAUGCAUGAUAUGAUCAAACAGAUCACUUGUUUCGUCAUAUGUCAUGAAUUUUGGUACCAUGAACCCUCUUGGGGGCUAGUAGUUGAUGAUGUAAAGGCUAAAAAGCAUGGAGAGCAUGUCACCCAAUCGUCUACUGACAGAGCCAAGCAGUCCUCGUUCUGUCAGAGCCCCUACUUGUUGUUAUGCUGGUGGACGAGAAGGCCAUUCUAGCAUGACCAUUGUAAUCGAGAAACCAAGGCAGGCUUCCUGGGUCGCUGCUACACAUGGUUUCCCUUCCAUGCCAGGUGUCUGAGGUCUUAGCCGAGCUCACAUUGUGUCUGAUAGUUGUGACCUUCUAUCACACCUCUUUUUUGUGGAGAUGUGGGUAGAGUCAGAGCUUUCAUCUAACAGUGCUUGGCAAGUUGGUAGAAACUUUUCUUUAGGUCGUAUCUCCUGGCUACCAGAGAUGAACUUUGCGUCCCUAAGAAAUGACAUUUUUUCGUUUUGUUUGGAGUUUGUUCACUGGCUCUUAGGCUGUCGGCUACGAGGGGGGCUUGACGAAGACACCUGGAUGCGUAACACUUCAAUUUCUUCUCUAAGUCUCCUUGUCUCACAGAGCAAGGACUGUACCUGUCGUUUGCUCUCUUGUUGGCGUCUUUCCAUGUUUUCACACUAGUCGAAGUAGCCAUCGCUACCCAUGGCUGAUGAUCGGCUCCUUGAGGGCGUCGACAUUCUUAACAUUUCCCACAAAUAGCACCAAUGUUGAUGCGAGGUUAACUGGAGUCAGAUCCGCCUUAUGUUGUGCCACUGAGAGCUUUUACCCAGCAACAAGGGACUAAGUGAGCUUUUUCCCUACACAAAGGAUGUCCGGACAAGGUGUCUGAGCACGCCCCUCUGAAGCUUAAGUCAGACACAGGUAGGUUAGAGCUUAUAGGGAGAAAAUGAAUAAACUAGCUUAGGUGUGCAUACCUGGGUUAUGCUUUAGGAAGACUUUUUAUAGUGCUCAAGAGAAAGUUAAUGUAGUGCUGAGUAGAUACUUUGACCUUCACUGUAAUAAUGGUUAUCCUGCAGGUGGCAGAGCAAUCAUUGCAGUUUAGGGCAACUAGCAAGUUCCAUCAAAUGAUGUGUCAUAAUGUAGCUGCCCAUCAUUUCAACCUUCUGGAGAUAUGAGGCAAUGUGUGAUAAUUUGUUGACAUCAAGGAUGAAAAUAUCGGUAAUUACGGAUAUAUCGAUAUUUCGAUUUUACGGAUAUAUCGAUAUUUCGAUUUUACGGAUAUAUCGGAAAUAUAUCGAUGGAUAUUUUGAUAUAAAAUAUUAGUAGACCUAAAAUUGACCAAAACUUAUAAAAAUAUAAAAUAAAACUUUUAGAAAUGAAAUUAAAAUAUAAUAGAUAUUUUAAAAUUAUUUUAUUAAAUAAAUUAAUGUAUAUAUAAUAUUGUACGUGUCAAUAAAAAAAUAUAAAUUUGAUAAGUGUAUAUUGAUUAUUAAAUUAUAUUAAAUAUUAUUUGAUCAUUAUAUUGUGAUAUUUGAUUAUAAUAUAUUUCGAUGGAUAUUUUAACACAAAAUAUCGGUAAAUCUAAAAUUGAUCAAAACUUAUAAAAAUAUAUUAAAAAAAACUUUUAAAAAUAAAAUUAAAAACAUAAUAGACAUUUUAAAGUUAUUUUUUCGAAUAAAUUGAUAUAUAUAUAUAUAUAUAUAUAUAUAUAUAUAUAUAUAUAUAAUAUUGUACAUGUUAAUAAAAAAUAUAAAUUUGAUAAGUGUAUAUUGAUUAUUGAAUUAUAUAAAAUAUUAUUUGAUGAUAAUAUUGUGAUUAUAAUAUGUUUAAUUUUAAAAUCUGUUUAAUAUUAAAAUAGUGAUAUAUUAUAAAAUAAAUGAUAAUAAAUAUAUAAAAUAUUAAUAUAUUAAUAAUAUUAAAAACUCUAUGAAUAAAAUUAUGAUAUUUUUUACUAAUCAAUUAAAUGAAAAUUUUUCAUUUAAUUAUAAAAUAGUCAUAAUUAAUUUGUUAUUUAAAGUGUUUUUUUAAUAUUUUAUUUAUAUUCUAAGUUUUAAUAUAUAUUUCUUUAGAGUGUCAUAUUUAUCAAAGAGCAUGUUUGCCCUAGUGGAACUGGGCCUGACAUAGAAAUCUUUUGUUGGGGGUUCGAAUCCCCCCAACAGCAGGAAGAAAAAAAGCUUAAUUUUGACCGUUGACCGCCUGUGUUGACCGAGCGUUGACCGGCGAUAUAUCUCUGCUGCACCCACCGACACACCGAUAUUUCGCCGAAAUAUCGCCUAAUUCCAAAGGGAAUGAUUACACGUAGCAAGGGAGUUCCGAGCACUGUGGCAAUUAUCUGGACAAUGCUGAGGGAAGUGACGCAUGGACUGACACGUGGAAGGUCCCUACAAUUACUACUCCUCAUUCACGUCUACCAAACAGGCCUUUGGGAUGAAAAUUAUAUACGUCAAUUCCAAGUUUCCAACCCAACACAAUUAUAUUAUUCACCUAAAUCACACUAAACCCAAUUUCCAUUUUUUUGGUGCAUCCAACCUGGAAUAUGUACAUUUUAAUGUAAUUCCUGCACAAAUGAGAAAAGUGAAUAAGCCAUCUUCCUCGACAUUCUUCUUGUAAAUUGAAGAGCAAGAUUUAUUUAUUUAUUUAUUUAUUUGCAUUUUAAAAACCAAUGUGAAAUUUGUCUUUUGAUUUUGAGCAUCCAUGAUGCCGAUAUGUACAUUUCAAUUACCACAUGAAGCAGGAAGUUCAAUCUUAAAUACCGAACAUCAAGCAGAAACCACUACACCCAGUAGAUGUAGAUUUUAAUAUUCAAUGGGUUCAUUCCAAUUGCCACAUUAUUUUCAGCAACCAGAACUCAAAAAAAGCCACACAAAUAACACGAUUAUAAGGAUAUGGGGGAUCGGAUACCUUAUUUUAUUUCCCAGUAUAAUUUUGAGACAAUCAAAUUCUGAGCUGCAGAGUCUGAAAUCCAAUAAAGGAGCUUUGGAGUCUAUGGUGGUGUACCGGGAUGAACCAUCACCUUCCAAAUUAAAAUUCUAGGGCUAUACCACAAACAGAAUUCUGAGAUGUAUUGGGUAUUACAUGAUGAAUAACCCAAGAAAACUAGUACCGUAGAAGAGCUUCAAAGGGAAGAGAAAAUGGGAACACCCGGCAGGGUUGCGCCUGCAUCGACAUUGAAAACGUUACCUGAUAUGUAUCGUGAAGAAUCAUGAAUCAAGUAUCGCACCAGGGAUGUCAAUGCAGGGUCCGAUGUUCCAUAGGCCCGCAAGGGGCAUGUUCUCUGAACCACAGUGUUGAGCCAGUCUUUUUGCAUAAGGCCCGCAGUUAUCUCCGAUUUGAAUAUUCCAGGUGCUAUUGCAUUCGCUCUAAUAUUGUAUGCCCCCAAUUCCAAAGCCAUUACCUGGAAUUGUUAUUAUUUGGAAAAAAAAUAAAUAAAUAAUCAUUCUUCAGUGCCAGACUCAGAUGAGUGUGUAGGAAUAAAGGUUCUACAACAUUUUUGCAUGGAAAAACAGUUGAAGAUGGCAGGAAAUAUACAAUAAAAUGUCGAAUCGAAAUAAGUAUAAUGCUAUAUAAACACAAGCCCUUAACCAGAUUUACAGAAAAUGACUUACAUCUUGGAUAGACAAACUGUACGUAUCAUGCAAAAGCGGAGAAUAAUAUUGGGAUUUUUUGCAUGGGAAGCAAGGUGAGAAGAAUAUUGACUUUUUGUACAUUGAUUUUUAUCUUCUCUUUUUAUACAUUUUAUAUACUCCUCAUGCUUAUUAAAAAAAAAAAAAGACAAAAAUAAUAUUAAAAAUUAAAAAUAAAAUAACAAGACAAGCAUAAUAUAGUGAACAUAAACAUUUGACUACAUUUUCACAAUAUAUUUAAAUCUAACGUUGAAUUUCCUAACUCACCUUUGUUUGCCAGAAUAUAUUAGAAACAAAUUUAAAACAUGUCAGAGAUAUUACCUUUGUCAUGGCGCUCAAGCCUGACUUGGAAGACACAUAGGCUACUGCUCCAGGUGACUGUCCCCGAUUAAGAGAAACAAUGGAAGAAAUAUUGAUGAUUGAUCCUCCAUUCUUGGCAUCCCUCAUGCGCAUACCGACAUAUUUUGACACCAACCAUGAUCCCGUCAAGUUUGUCUUCAGAGUAUUGUUCCAUUCCUCCUCAGAUAUAUCCAGAGGAGAGUUCACAUUGCCUAAGGCACACAGGGCACAGGGCAUGGGUUAAAUACAUCUACCACGCAUUACGUUCACAAAUAUUAGCAGAACACCAGAGAUAAAUUAAAUGAGUAAUAUUGAUGAGAAAAAUAUAUGUGAUUGACUCGGUAUAGAUACCCAGUUGACUUGGUAUAGAUACCCAGUUGACUCGCUGAUUAGUUUCAAAUUUCAGUUAGAACUGAAUGAAAUGAAACGUGCGCUAGAAUUGACAGUAUGAGAAAAACAAGGUUUCCAAAAGUCAGCUGCAAAACGGGAAAUUCAGGAUACAGGAAUAUCAGGAUCGUGCAAAAUCAAAAUUUACCUCUAAUGCCCGCAUUAUUUAGCAAAACAUCGAUACGUCCAAAGGCCUCCCAAGCCUUCUGAACGGAGGCGCUGAUGGAGGAGCCACCGCUGGUGACGUCAAGUUCGACUACUACGGCUCGGACAGGCCUGUCAGCGUUUGGAGGAAGGUUCGAGUGGGUGAGGUUGUUGAUCUCGUCGCAGAGAGACUUGAGUCGGUCAACUCGGCGGGCGGCCGCCACUAUCUUGCAGCCGGCUUUGGCGAG
This 16161-nucleotide long non-coding RNA is filed under the name Vitis vinifera (wine grape). RNAcentral describes it as "long non-coding RNA (VVIN_LNC002519)". Lineage: Eukaryota; Viridiplantae; Streptophyta; Magnoliopsida; Vitales; Vitaceae. The record is from RNAcentral.